GGGCGGUUAGCUCAGUUGGUUUAGAGCGCCUGCCUUACAAGCAGGAUGUCGGGGGUUCAAGUCCCUCACCGCCCA
This 75-nucleotide transfer RNA is filed under the name Ignavibacteriota bacterium. Its description in RNAcentral is "Ignavibacteriae bacterium (groundwater metagenome) tRNA-Val". It matches the Rfam family "tRNA". Rfam says of the family: Transfer RNA (tRNA) molecules are approximately 80 nucleotides in length. Lineage: Bacteria; Pseudomonadati; Ignavibacteriota. The record is from RNAcentral.